Molecule: ribosomal RNA, 480 nt
Filed under: uncultured organism
Description: partial 16S ribosomal RNA
Rfam family: Bacterial small subunit ribosomal RNA
Source: RNAcentral
ACGUACACUCCUACGGGAGGCAGCAGUGGGGAAUUUUGGACAAUGGGCGAAAGCCUGAUCCAGCCAUGCCGCGUGCAGGAUGAAGGCCUUCGGGUUGUAAACUGCUUUUGUACGGAACGAAACGGCCUUUUCUAAUAAAGAGGGCUAAUGACGGUACCGUAAGAAUAAGCACCGGCUAACUACGUGCCAGCAGCCGCGGUAAUACGUAGGGUGCAAGCGUUAAUCGGAAUUACUGGGCGUAAAGCGUGCGCAGGCGGUUAUGUAAGACAGUUGUGAAAUCCCCGGGCUCAACCGGGGAACGGCAUCGGUGACUGCAUAGCUAGAGUACGGUAGAGGGGGAUGGAAUUCCGCGUGUAGCAGUGAAAUGCGUAGAUAUGCGGAGGAACACCGAUGGCGAAGGCAAUCCCCUGGACCUGUACUGACGCUCAUGCACGAAAGCGUGGGGAGCAAACAGGAUUAGAAACCCGAGUAGUCCCAUGA